This 72-nucleotide transfer RNA is filed under the name Ictidomys tridecemlineatus (thirteen-lined ground squirrel). Its description in RNAcentral is "Spermophilus tridecemlineatus (thirteen-lined ground squirrel) tRNA". It matches the Rfam family "tRNA". Rfam says of the family: Transfer RNA (tRNA) molecules are approximately 80 nucleotides in length. Their secondary structure includes four short double-helical elements and three loops (D, anti-codon, and T loops). Further hydrogen bonds mediate the characteristic L-shaped molecular structure. tRNAs have two regions of fundamental functional importance: the anti-codon, which is responsible for specific mRNA codon recognition, and the 3' end, to which the tRNAs corresponding amino acid is attached (by aminoacyl-tRNA synthetases). tRNAs cope with the degeneracy of the genetic code in two manners: having more than one tRNA (with a specific anti-codon) for a particular amino acid; and 'wobble' base-pairing, i.e. permitting non-standard base-pairing at the 3rd anti-codon position. RNAcentral also lists the same sequence under 1 other name. Lineage: Eukaryota; Metazoa; Chordata; Mammalia; Rodentia; Sciuridae. The record is from Rfam by way of RNAcentral.
GGAGAUAUGGCUCAAUGGCAGAGCACUUGCCUAACACACUCAAGGUCCUGGGUUCAAUCCCCAGUGCAUCCA